This 415-nucleotide ribosomal RNA is filed under the name uncultured bacterium. RNAcentral's name for it is "bacterial SSU rRNA". It matches the Rfam family "Bacterial small subunit ribosomal RNA", at positions 358 to 774 of the family's 1533-position model. The record is from RNAcentral.
GGAAUAUUCCACAAUGGGGGGAACCCUGAUGGAGCGACGCCGCGUGAGUGAAGAAGGGCUUCGGCUCGUAAAGCUCUUUUCUGAAGGACGAAUGGUCUAUUGGAUAGGCAGAGACGGUACAUUGGGAAUAAGCCACGGCUAACUACGUGCCAGCAGCCGCGGUAAUACGUAGGUGGCAAGCGUUGUCCGGAAUUAUUGGGCGUAAAGGGAGCGCAGGCGGGGCGGUAAGUCCAAAUUAAAAGUGCAGGAGUAAUGUCUGUGAUGGUUUGGAAACUAUCGUUCUUGAGAGCAGGAGAGGCAAGCGGAAUUCCCGGUGUAGCGGUGAAAUGCGUAGAUAUUGGGAGGAACACCAGUGGCGAAGGCGGCUUGCUGGACUGAGUCUGACGCUGAGGCUCGAAAGCCAGGGUAGCGAACG